GUAGCGGCGACGGGUGAGUAACACGUGGGUAACCUACCUAUAAGACUGGGAUAACUUCGGGAAACCGGAGCUAAUACCGGAUAAUAUUUCGAACCGCAUGGUUCGAUAGUGAAAGAUGGUUUUGCUAUCACUUAUAGAUGGACCCGCGCCGUAUUAGCUAGUUGGUAAGGUAACGGCUUACCAAGGCGACGAUACGUAGCCGACCUGAGAGGGUGAUCGGCCACACUGGAACUGAGACACGGUCCAGACUCCUACGGGAGGCAGCAGGC
Molecule: ribosomal RNA, 269 nt
Filed under: uncultured Staphylococcus sp.
Lineage: Bacteria; Bacillati; Bacillota; Bacilli; Caryophanales; Staphylococcaceae
Description: partial 16S ribosomal RNA
Rfam family: Bacterial small subunit ribosomal RNA
Source: RNAcentral